UCAGAAAAUGAAGUUUGUCCAACAUGGCCGCCAUCAUGACUUUCCAGCGCUUGCCUUCAUUCUCAGGUUUAGUUCACAGAUUUAUAGCUCAGAGACACAAGUCUUAACUCAGUGCUGUUUUGGUGUGAGACAGGCAUCUGUUUCUUUAGCUAGAAACUUAGUAAAUAAGCAGAUUUCUCUCAUCAGACGUCCUCUCUGAGCUGAUCGACUGGCUUUUUGGCUAAAGAGAGACACUUUGUGAUUUUCUUUUACUGACCUUAAUGGGUUUUUUUAACAUAAGAGGGAGUGGGAGCCAGCAGCGGUGGAACCCAGCGGGCACCGAGAGCGACCUCGGAACAAUACAGCAGCGUGGAGAGCAGAUGGGAGGUGCAUCUGCCUGAUCCUCCCCUGCGUCUCAU
RNA transcript from Pangasianodon hypophthalmus (striped catfish), 398 nucleotides. RefSeq lists it as uncharacterized. Lineage: Eukaryota; Metazoa; Chordata; Actinopteri; Siluriformes; Pangasiidae. The record is from RefSeq and is a predicted model, not a curated record. The transcript is spliced from 3 exons.